RNAcentral lists this ribosomal RNA (463 nucleotides) under uncultured bacterium. RNAcentral describes it as "partial 16S ribosomal RNA". It matches the Rfam family "Bacterial small subunit ribosomal RNA", at positions 28 to 507 of the family's 1533-position model. The record is from RNAcentral.
GAUGAACGCUGACAGAAUGCUUAACACAUGCAAGUCGAUGGGGAAGUGGUGCUUGCACCAUGGUAACCAUGGCGGACGGGUGAGUAACGCGUAAGGAACUUGCCUGCGGGACUGGGAUAACAGCAGGAAACUGCUGAUAAUACCGGAUAAGGUCAUUAAGCUGCAUAGCUUAGUGAUGAAAGGAGACGCCUGCGGAGAGCCUUGCGUCCUAUUAGCUAGUUGGAGGGGUAACGGCCCACCAAGGCGAAGACAGGUAGCCGGCCUGAGAGGGUGGACGGCCACAAGGGGACUGAGAUACGGCCCUUACUCCUACGGGAGGCAGCAGUGGGGAAUAUUGGACAAUGGGGGCAACCCUGAUCCAGCAAUUCUGUGUGCACGAAGACGGUUUUCGGAUUGUAAAGUGCUUUCAGCAGGGAAGAAGGAAGUGACGGUACCUGCAGAAGAAGCGACGGCUAAAUACGUG